This 125-nucleotide ribosomal RNA is filed under the name Mesorhizobium sp. RNAcentral describes it as "partial 23S ribosomal RNA". It matches the Rfam family "Bacterial large subunit ribosomal RNA", at positions 1 to 115 of the family's 2925-position model. Lineage: Bacteria; Pseudomonadati; Pseudomonadota; Alphaproteobacteria; Hyphomicrobiales; Phyllobacteriaceae. The record is from RNAcentral.
GGGUUGUGAGGUUAAGUGACGAAGCGUACACGGUGGAUGCCCAGGCAGUCAGAGGCGAUGAAGGGCGUGCUAAUCUGCGAUAAGCGUCGGUAAGGUGAUAUGAACCGCAACAGCCGACGAUACCC